RNAcentral lists this ribosomal RNA (433 nucleotides) under uncultured bacterium. RNAcentral's name for it is "partial 16S ribosomal RNA". It matches the Rfam family "Bacterial small subunit ribosomal RNA", at positions 29 to 507 of the family's 1533-position model. The record is from RNAcentral.
AACGAACGCUGGCGGCAUGCCUAACACAUGCAAGUCGAACGAGACCUUCGGGUCUAGUGGCGCACGGGUGCGUAACGCGUGGGAACCUGCCCUUAGGUUCGGAAUAACUCCCCGAAAGGGGUGCUAAUACCGGAUAAUGUCUUCGGACCAAAGAUUUAUCGCCUUUGGAUGGGCCCGCGUUGGAUUAGCUGGUUGGUAGGGUAAAAGCCUACCAAGGCGACGAUCCAUAGCUGGUCUGAGAGGAUGAUCAGCCACACUGGGACUGAGACACGGCCCAGACUCCGACGGGAGGGAGCAGAGGGGAAUAUUGGAGGAUGGGCGAAAGCCUGAUACAGCAACGCCGGGGGAGUGAUGAAGGCCGUAGGGUUGUAAAGCUCUUUUACCCGGGAUGAUAAUGACAGUACCGGGAGAAUAAGCUCCGGCUAACUACGUG